UAACGCGUGGGUAACCUGCCUCAUACAGGGGGAUAACAGUUAGAAAUGACUGCUAAUACCGCAUAAGCGCACAGCAUCGCAUGAUGCCGUGUGAAAAACUCCGGUGGUAUGAGAUGGACCCGCGUCUGAUUAGCUAGUUGGUGAGGUAACGGCCCACCAAGGCGACGAUCAGUAGCCGGCCUGAGAGGGUGAACGGCCACAUUGGGACUGAGACACGGCCCAA
RNAcentral lists this ribosomal RNA (223 nucleotides) under uncultured bacterium. Its description in RNAcentral is "partial 16S ribosomal RNA". It matches the Rfam family "Bacterial small subunit ribosomal RNA", at positions 111 to 334 of the family's 1533-position model. The record is from RNAcentral.